Molecule: small nucleolar RNA, 101 nt
Filed under: Canis lupus dingo (dingo)
Lineage: Eukaryota; Metazoa; Chordata; Mammalia; Carnivora; Canidae
Source: RNAcentral
GUGGCCAGUGAUGAGGACUUUUUCCACUUGUGUCUGAGUUCUUCAACCAUGAGAUGACCCCACAUGCACUAUGGGAGAGAUACAUGUAUUUAUCAGAUCAA